AGUGAACGCUGGCGGUAGGCCUAACACAUGCAAGUCGAACGGCAGCACAGUAAGUGCUUGCUCUUACGGGUGGCGAGUGGCGGACGGGUGAGGAAUACAUCGGAAUCUACUUUUUCGUGGGGGAUAACGUAGGGAAACUUACGCUAAUACCGCAUACGACCUACGGGUGAAAGCAGGGGAUCUUCGGACCUUGCGCGAUUGAAUGAGCCGAUUUCGGAUUUGCUAGUUGGCGGGGUAAAGGCCCACCAAGGCGACGAUCCGUAGCUUGUCUGAGAGGAUGAUCAGACACACUGGAACUGAGACACGGUCCAGACGCCUACGGGAGGCAGCAGUGGGGAAUAUUGGACAAGGGGCGCAAGCAUGAUCCAGCCAGACCGCGUGGGUGAAGAAGGCCUUCGGGUUGUAAAGCCCUUUUGUUGGGAAAGAAAAGCAGCAGGUUAAUACCCCGCUGUUCUGACGGUACCCAAAGAAUAAGCACCGGCUAACUUCGUG
RNAcentral lists this ribosomal RNA (492 nucleotides) under uncultured bacterium. RNAcentral's name for it is "partial 16S ribosomal RNA". It matches the Rfam family "Bacterial small subunit ribosomal RNA", at positions 29 to 507 of the family's 1533-position model. The record is from RNAcentral.